CCACGCCCCCUUUCUCAGUUUAAAACUGCCCCCCACCAAUCUUAUCACUAUUCUCCUGUUUAUGUGCUCCCUUCGAGUCCUGGGGAGCCCUCAGCACUUUGAGGUCCUUCUGAUGCAUCAUUUUGCUCUCUCUGCUGCUGUUACCUCACUCCAGCCCUCAGCUAGAAGAAUUCCUGAGAGAAGCAGCUCAGCUCUCGAGCACCCCUGGAGUCAUCACCAGUGUUAAAACUGCAAAGUAACUGAAUGCAUCCCUGCCAUGUGAGUGCUGGUGCCUUAAGAAGAGUCGCCUGAUACACUGGGGAGAUCUGUUCAUCAAAGCAUGGCACGUGAUGAAAUAAUGUGAUUUCCUAAAACGUGGGAAUUAGCAAGUCAAGCCCAGAGAAUUAAAACUGCCCGGAGGCUCAGCUGCCCUGAAAGAAUCCAGUAAAACUCCAUCUCAAGCUAGCAAGAAGCGGAACACGGCAUCUAUUUUUGUUAUGACAUCCUUGAGGUCAGCCCAGCAACAGGGAGGGGAAGAAAUUAAAAGACCCAAACAUUUGCAAGACUGCUCGAUGUUUUAAGGACCUGUAAGGAGGCUGAGGAAUAAGACGUCUGACACAGAGAACUGUGGCUGAAACCUUCCUAAGACUGCUGCCAUUGUGCAAACCAAGUGCACACCAGUAGGAGAGCAGUGCCACAACCGAGCAAUGGCACAAAGCAUCACAGGAGGGGGAGAGAUGGAUGGAAAAAGUAGAGCGAGGUGCAAGUUUCUGCACAGCUGGAGCACAGCUACGGCGCUGGAGAAACAUCUGCAUAGAGCACAGAGCCCUUCAGAUGGCAGAUUGCUGUGAGAACAUCUUGCUGCUUCCUUCACUUCUGCUGCACCAAAAAGCCAUCAGUGCAAUGCUGAAAGGGAACAGAGAAAGGGGCUGGAAGCACUUUAAUUACUGUGAGUGCUUGUUUUGUGUACGUGUGAUUGCUUCCUAUGAUACAGUAACUUCUUCUCUUUCCCCAUGCAAGGAUGGUGUUUCUAUUUAUCACGAUGAAUCCAGAGCAGCAAAUUAGAGAGGGAAAGGGAGCAACUGCAUUGCUCUAUUUGUAAGCAAAACUGGCACUGUGUGCGGAGGAGCAACAGUUUCUGUUGAAAGCAAGUAAUGGAUUUUCUCCCUGCAGAACUCCUUUGGCCCUUUGCUUUCACUUCCUGUUCUUCACUGGCUUUUAAAAGACUGCCCAAGUUCCUGCCAUGCUUAGAAGAGUUGAGUGCUAUUAUUCCCAUUUACAGAGAAAAAAAAGAAAAAAGUAGAUGGCGAGAAGCUUCUAUCUGUGAACAUUGGUUAAUCCCAUUCUUUUUAAUGCUGAAAAUGUGUUAAGGACAACGAGGUGCAGAGCCAGACCUCGCUUGGGCUCCAGGGGCCACUGAGCAGCAGUGGGCAGCACUGCACACCAUGAGUGGGGGCAUCUUCCAGAACUGGGGCUCCUGGUGGUGGGAAGGGUUCUGUUUACACGAGGUAACAUUCCCUCAAUCACCUUUUCCAUUUAAUUUUCUGUGCUUUGUGCUGCCUGCUAGGGAUCGUUAAGCAAUACUCCAGUUAUCACUGCAUAUCACUUAGUGUGCUUUGCUCUAAUAAGCUUUUGUAAAUAAAACCCAGAGAGAUGAAAAGGCCAACGCCUGAUUACGAGCUACC
Molecule: long non-coding RNA, 1664 nt
Filed under: Gallus gallus (chicken)
Lineage: Eukaryota; Metazoa; Chordata; Aves; Galliformes; Phasianidae
Description: long non-coding RNA NONGGAT005034
Source: RNAcentral